UACUUUAUAGUGUAUGAGCAUAUUAGAUUUUGAUUCUAAUGGAUUAAAUUAAAUUUUAUUGAAGUAA
RNAcentral lists this transfer RNA (67 nucleotides) under Eremobates cf. palpisetulosus SEM-2008. RNAcentral's name for it is "tRNA-Gln". The record is from RNAcentral. Lineage: Eukaryota; Metazoa; Arthropoda; Arachnida; Solifugae; Eremobatidae.